AUUGAACGCUGGCGGCAGGCCUAACACAUGCAAGUCGAGCGCGAAAGUUCUUCGGAAUGAGUAAAGCGGCGGACGGGUGAGUAAUGCAUGGGAAUCUGCCUGGUAGUGGGGGACAACGUCUCGAAAGGGACGCUAAUACCGCAUACGCCCUACGGGGGAAAGGGGGGGAUCUUCGGACCUCUCGCUAUCAGAUGAGCCCAUGUCAGAUUAGCUAGUUGGUGGGGUAAAGGCCUACCAAGGCGACGAUCUGUAACUGGUCUGAGAGGAUGAUCAGUCACACUGGAACUGAGACACGGUCCAGACUCCUACGGGAGGCAGCAGUGGGGAAUAUUGGACAAUGGGCGAAAGCCUGAUCCAGCCAUGCCGCGUGUGUGAAGAAGGCCUUAGGGUUGUAAAGCACUUUCAGUGGGGAGAAAGGCUGUUUACUUAACACGUAGGCAGAUUGAUGUUACCCACAGAAGAAGCACCGGCUAACUCCGUG
RNAcentral lists this ribosomal RNA (481 nucleotides) under uncultured bacterium. RNAcentral describes it as "partial 16S ribosomal RNA". It matches the Rfam family "Bacterial small subunit ribosomal RNA", at positions 30 to 507 of the family's 1533-position model. The record is from RNAcentral.